Molecule: long non-coding RNA, 991 nt
Organism: Suricata suricatta (meerkat)
Lineage: Eukaryota; Metazoa; Chordata; Mammalia; Carnivora; Herpestidae
Exons: 4
Source: RefSeq, a predicted model, not a curated record
GGAAUGUUGGAGGGAAUCCCAAAACUAUACGCAAAUCUUCAGCUGAGCCUCAUAUUUAACUGCUCCUGCUGUCCUGCAGAAUAUCUGAACUCAGGCUUCCCUUGACUGCAAGAAAAGAGUAGGGCACAUGCCAAGGGUGGUUCUAGCAGAGGAGGAAGAAGUAAUUGAUUCCUUUCCAUGUUCCUGCUCUUCAUGAAGCUGAUCAAAUGUUUUCAUCUAGGGUGAAAGUGGUUGCUGCACAGAACUGUUGUAUACUGGAGGAGCAAUAGCAUCAUUUAUAAACUAUAAAAGUGGUUCCUGGUCUCACUUAGCAACGUCACACAUGCAACAGCCCUCACCUGCCUGGCAGCACAAAUACCCCACCAUUGCACUGUGAAAGGGUGAACCAUCACAGCAUUCAUUGUGGAGGACAGAAUGCCAUCAAGACUAAAGUGGGAGGAUCAGGACCUGUCAUGCUCCUCAUCUUUUACUGAACGUGAAAGACACUACAGCUCUGAAAAUGAACUUGCUCUGGCUCAACAAAACAGGAGGAAUCUCACCAACAUAAUGCACACUGGGAAAAUCAACCCGGACACUGCCUGAACUCGGGAUUCAUUUUUAGAGUGAUAAAAAUCAAACAAGUUGAGAUAGUAUACUGUCUAGAAAUGCUUUCAUUUGAGAUCAUCUUUUUUUAAAAGAAAGAGAAUGAUUUAACACAUAAUUCAGGAUGGUGGUUAUAUCUGAGAAGGCCACAGGGGAAUAUGAUAGGAGAGAGACAAGAACUGGUGAUGUUCUUAUUCAUGAAUUGGGUGGUGGGUCAAAAAGCAGUAGAAGGGCAAGAUAUCAAGCCAACUUCUGGAUAGAACUUCUGACUUCAUAACAAUAUUGCUGUCUUUUUUAAGCAAGACAUCUUAUUCCAAUAAUCAAUUAAUUUACUAGCAAGCAGAUAUCCUAUUCUCUAUACUGUUUAGGAAUAAAAAUCCCAAAAUAAAUGAAGUCAUGUGCCACAGUG